CAUCAUUUUAACAAACGAACAAUAGGUCAAAUUUAUUAGCCGGGAUAAUGGGCGGCGGAUAUUAGCGCCCGAACCGCAGCCUCCCAAACCCGAAAUCUAACGAAGCUGCAAUUAGCAGACGUUCCCCUCUCCUCCCGGCCGGGGCUGCUUCCCUGCAGCCGAGCGGGGCUGUGAGGGCGCGCUGCUGGUGAAACUGUCAUUUGCCGAGGGGCUUGGGGGGGGGGGGGGGGAGGUUCGUUUUCUUCCAAAUUUUCUGCAUCUGAACAAAACCCAAACCAUGUGAAUCCUUUCUAUUACAAUGGAGUUGCAACCGCGGAACGAACCUGCGGGAUCCUGGACACCCCACCGCCGCGGGAGCAACGAAAGGGGUGCACAGUGGGGCGCAAGCUCUGCGCUACCUGCGCACUGGGUGAGGACAGCACCGGAGCGGACCCCGCGCUCCCAAGAACCCCGACCCGCGUGGGGAGAAUCCGCCCCCGCCUGGGCUUCGGCCGCGGCGUCGCGGCCACUUUGGAGACACUCCCUGGCACCGGCCAGAAGGACCGAGGCGCGACUCUCAGGUGCCCAUGCGUGCCGGGCCGGGCUGAACGGGACCCGAGGUUGCCCGGUGAGGAGCGAGAUCUGGUCCCUCGAAAUUCGUUGCAGGAUGGACUGGACUGUGGACCCGCGGGGGAACCUGCCCUUGAUUUCUCUACUAAAUUUGACUCCGUUUCAACACUUUUGUUGGGCAAAUUACAUUAAGAUGGAUGUUGCAGAAAGGGCACAGAAUGGAACUUAGCCUUCCUAGGAAGAUCAGGAUUCUGUUCCAGAUUUCUGGGGAGAAACCUUUAGCCAAACCUUUCCAGUGAAGGCCAGGUAAGAGCCGAGGCUGGAAGAUCCCUGCCUGUGUAUAACUCCUCCCCCUGGGCGUGGUCUGGUCCUGGUGACUGGACUUCAAUGAAGAGAAUACAGAAGUGACUGGUGCCCCUCUGCGGUUAGGUUAUGAGAGGCUGUGACUUCCAGGGUGCUGUGUUCUUCCUUGCUCUGGUAAAACAAGAUGCUGUGCUGUGAGCCACCCUAUGGAGAGGCCAUUUGGCUAGGAGCUGAGGCUCAGUCCACCAACCCAUGAGGGGCGGACUCCUGCCCACAGCCACGAGGACGUGUGGAAGCAGGUCCUUCCCAGCGAGCCUUGUGGUGAACAGGGCCUAUAAGACCCACCACAGCCUGGGAGACCCAGAGGCAGAGCAUCUGCAGGAACUGUGAGAUAAGCAGUGCUGUUUAAGCCACUGUGAAAGCACUAGUUGCUCAGCUGUGUCUGACUCUUUGCCACCGUAUGGACUGUCGUCCGCCAGGCUCCUCUUUCCAUGGAAUUCUCCAGGCAGGAAUACUGGAGUGGGUUGCCAUUCCCUUCUCCAGGGGAUCUUCCCUACCCAGGGAUCGAACGUGGGUCUUCUGCAUUGCAGGCAGUUUCUUUACCAUUUGAGCCACUGGAAAAGCCUCUAUGUUUUGGGGUAAUUUGUUAUCUAGCAAUAGAGUUCUGAAAAACACAUGGAAAUUGAUACAAACAUUAACUGGUUUCAACUUACCAUUCUCAAAUAUAGGUUUUGGAAGAGAUCUCAAGAAUGCCUGUGAGGUGACACAGACCUGGGAUCAAAUAUUGCCUGUGUAAGCUGGUACCACCUCUGAGCCUCAGUUUCCUCAUCUGACACGGGGGCUGAGGGCACAGUCCCCUAGCUGAGUGUGCCUGCCUGGCACAGGUGCUCUGCACACCCAGCGCUGUGAGCAGGCCCUGCUGAGGUGGGGUGGGCAGGCCUGACAAGUCCUCCUCCCCAGCGGGCCUCCAAGGCUGCGACAGAGCCCUGGGCUGCUGAGAAGCCACCAGGCGGCCUCUGGGGGCGUGGUCAAGAAAAGCAAGCACACACGGUGAUUCUCUUGUGACCGUUUUAGUGCAAAUGACAUGGUGCUUUUAGGUCUUGGAACAUUUUAUUGUUUAUUUAUUUAGGCCACGCCCCACAGCUUGUGGGAUCACAGCUCCCUGACCAGGGAUUGAACCUGGGCCAUGGCAGUGGAAGCCCAGAAUCCUAACAACUAGGCCACCAGGGAACUCCCAGGUCUUGAACUUAAAAAAAAAAAAGUCCCAGAAUGGGACAGGCUUUCUAUGAAGGAUUUUUUUGGGAUGGGUAGUAUGCAGUAAUUAGCCCCCGAGAAAGAGAAAAUUCUCAAAUCAGAUUUCUCUAAAAAGUUAAGUUUUAUGAAGUUCAGAAUUUGCCUUCUCAUGGAAAAUUAUUUAUCCUACUGAUAAUGAAACACAGUGUAAGGCUGAGGCUUACUUCUCUCUUAGAUACCAGAAAUAACCCUACUUAGAACACACUUUUCCCUGACUUCCUGAGUUCACAUAUGGAAGACAAAUUUUUAGAUACACUUGGGUAACUUUGCUUUUAUGUGACAAGCCUGUUAUAAAACUCAACUAUCAAGAAAAAUUUCAAGAAAUAACUAGUCUGAGAAAUGAGAUUAUAAAAGGAGCCUGCGGAUUUACCUCUUCAACAGUAAGGCCAACCUUUCAUGUCUUAUCAGAAAUAAAGGGAAUAAUAUUUAUUAUAAGCCUGAACCA
Molecule: long non-coding RNA, 2590 nt
Filed under: Bos indicus x Bos taurus (hybrid cattle)
Lineage: Eukaryota; Metazoa; Chordata; Mammalia; Artiodactyla; Bovidae
Description: lncRNA (ENSBIXG00005019617.1)
Source: RNAcentral